This is a long non-coding RNA of Varroa destructor (honeybee mite), 544 nucleotides long. RefSeq lists it as uncharacterized. The record is from RefSeq and is a predicted model, not a curated record. Lineage: Eukaryota; Metazoa; Arthropoda; Arachnida; Mesostigmata; Varroidae.
AUGGGCCAUGCAUCCCAAAUUGCCAUUAACCCACCGGUGACAAAAUGCAGCAUGAAUUAGCCUGUCGAUUUUCUUCGAAGUUGUUCCCGCUCUGCGAAGAGACGUCUUUUAAAUUUCGAAUUCAAAAAUAUCCGUCCGUUAUUUGUAGUCGUCGUACGUAGUCAAUGAAAAAGCUGAAUAUGCGAUCACCUGCUUCAACGACCUCACAAGUGUAUCAGGACCUAUUGUACUAUGUCGUGACCUGUAUACUGGAACCUAUUGCGGAAUAAAAAGACGCAGAAAAUUCGAUUAGGAGAUUUUUAUCCGUGUGGCUAAAUGACACUGAAAGCUCCUGCAGGUCAUGACGCCGGCUUAAGCGGACAGAGUAUACGCGACGAAUAUAUGUGUGUAUACGAACAUUGGUUGGCCUUCCUAAUUGUACAUUAUAAAGCCACAUGGUCCUUAUGAUACAGCUAGGCCGGCACUUUUUCACUAUAAUAAAGCAGAACGUAUUGAGUGUCAAAAGGUAUCAAACAAAGACCUUCGGUGCAUAUUAAUACUCCAA